This 863-nucleotide long non-coding RNA is filed under the name Phaseolus vulgaris (common bean). Its description in RNAcentral is "long non-coding RNA (PVUL_LNC000471)". Lineage: Eukaryota; Viridiplantae; Streptophyta; Magnoliopsida; Fabales; Fabaceae. The record is from RNAcentral.
CAAUCUUUUGAUGGAACAAAUACUAGGGAUUGGAGAGAGAACACAUAGUAAUUUUUUAAAGUUAGAAGGACCCUGUUGAUCAUUUUGCUUGGUUGUUGCUUCUUUCUAUGAUGACAAGGUUUUGUUCUUGCAGAGUCAUGAUUUCAAGAUUAAAAGUUGGCAGCAGAUUUGCAAGAUGUGGGUUAUAGAUUUGAUGAAGAUAUUUUUAUGGUGGGGUUUAGGGUUUAGUUUGUACCCUGAUGCAAGCAAAGGUUUGGUUUUGAAUUUCUGCAAAAUCUCGCACUACUUCGAUUUCCUUUUCCAGUUGGUAUUUGGAAUCUUUGGAAUGUAUGCGUUUAGUUAUUUGAUGCUUUUUAAGUUUUUAGGUUCUUAGAGCGGACUUUGCUUUUGCCUGUUAGGUUUAGAGGGUACUGUUAGACGUUGGAUUAUGUAUUUAUUGUAUAAGGGUUGAUCCACCUCUGAAAGAGUGGCUCGCAUUUAUAUUUUUGUUAUUGCUGAUAAAAAAAAAAAAUGGUGGCAGAGGUUGCAAAAUUGAAACAGGAAAUUCUUUAAUUGAAUACUUGGAAAAUCUUGACAAUCUUUUGGUUGAAGUAAGAGUUUCAGAUGAUAUAUAACCUUCAGUUUCUUUCUUUCAGGUUUCAAUGUGGAAUUGGAGAAAUAUGUUCGUUUGCAUCACCAUCCAUGAUUCAAGAAUCAGUGUGCUUAACAAGAUGGCAUGGGAAAUUCCAAUUUAGAAUUCCAAUUGAGAUAUUCUGGAAUGUGAUCUAAUCAGAUUUUGAAUAAUGGUUAAUUUUACUCACACUUUAAAAGCUGUACUUUGAUUUGUACUAAAAUUAUUUAUAAAUCUACUAUUUUAACUAUAA